This 60-nucleotide transfer RNA is filed under the name Pinus taeda (loblolly pine). RNAcentral describes it as "partial tRNA-Asp". It matches the Rfam family "tRNA", at positions 14 to 71 of the family's 71-position model. Rfam says of the family: Transfer RNA (tRNA) molecules are approximately 80 nucleotides in length. RNAcentral also lists the same sequence under 1 other name. Lineage: Eukaryota; Viridiplantae; Streptophyta; Pinopsida; Pinales; Pinaceae. The record is from RNAcentral.
AUUGGUUAGAGUACCGCCCUGUCAAGACGGAAGUUGCGGGUUCGAGUCCCGUCAGUCCCG